CCUUUUCUCUGGUCUUCUGUACUUGAAUUACAGGAACUCUUGAUGUGGGUCCUCUGAAUAAACAGCGCACAUUCCUCAGUUAUCCCCACUGCAGGGAGUCUUUAGAUCUGGAGAUAGGUAAAACCUACCUUAUCAUGGGCACGUCCAAAGAUAUUCACAGAGAUCGCCGACAACAAUCGUAUCAGUAUGUGCUUGGAGAGAGAACCUGGAUCGAGUACUGGCCCACAGAAGCAGAGUGUCAAACUGAGGAACACAGAGUUACCUGUUUGGGCAUGGAGGAUAUGGUUAAUCAGUACCAACUCUUUGGGUGUAAGCAAUAGUGAUACUCAAGAAAAGAAAAUGUUCCUUUAAAUUGUUUUUUUUAAUUUUGCAUCAUUCAUAUUAUGUAAAACAUUCCCUGCUAUGGGAUAAGAUGGCUUACAUUGUUGCACUGUAUUGAUUUAAAUGUAAUGGUCUUAAAUGUAAUUGUGUUUGUUUGAAAAUUAGGCACUGAUUACUGUUAUUUUGGUUGUGAA
Molecule: long non-coding RNA, 515 nt
Organism: Etheostoma cragini (Arkansas darter)
Lineage: Eukaryota; Metazoa; Chordata; Actinopteri; Perciformes; Percidae
Exons: 2
Source: RefSeq, a predicted model, not a curated record